Molecule: ribosomal RNA, 497 nt
Filed under: uncultured bacterium
Lineage: Bacteria
Description: partial 16S ribosomal RNA
Rfam family: Bacterial small subunit ribosomal RNA
Source: RNAcentral
GAUGAACGCUGGCGGCGUGCCUAAUACAUGCAAGUCGAGCGAACGGACGAGAAGCUUGCUUCUCUGAUGUUAGCGGCGGACGGGUGAGUAACACGUGGAUAACCUACCUAUAAGACUGGGAUAACUUCGGGAAACCGGAGCUAAUACCGGAUAAUAUUAUGAACCGCAUGGUUCAAUAGUGAAAGACGGUCUUGCUGUCACUUAUAGAUGGAUCCGCGCUGCAUUAGCUAGUUGGUAAGGUAACGGCUUACCAAGGCAACGAUGCAUAGCCGACCUGAGAGGGUGAUCGGCCACACUGGAACUGAGACACGGUCCAGACUCCUACGGGAGGCAGCAGUAGGGAAUCUUCCGCAAUGGGCGAAAGCCUGACGGAGCAACGCCGCGUGAGUGAUGAAGGUCUUCGGAUCGUAAAACUCUGUUAUUAGGGAAGAACAUAUGUGUAAGUAACUGUGCACAUCUUGACGGUACCUAAUCAGAAAGCCACGGCUAACUACGUG